Molecule: long non-coding RNA, 1258 nt
Filed under: Mus musculus (house mouse)
Lineage: Eukaryota; Metazoa; Chordata; Mammalia; Rodentia; Muridae
Description: predicted gene, 30159
Source: RNAcentral
GAUUAACUGUGCAUUGGAGUUCGGAACCACCAGAACAUCAAGUAAUAGACUGCCGAGGAUUCUAGAAGAUCCUUGUUUGAUCCUCCCGAGAAGCCUCUCUCUAAGUAAUAUUUGGAACUCUCUUCCCUCGAAGAAAACAAAACAGGAACCUAACAUGGCUUCCCUCCGAAAGGCCCAACAAACAGCUGACUGAGACAUAAGGAGAUACAACCAACCAAUGGACUGAAGUCAGGAACCUCUGAACCUCAUUGUUGAGCUCAACUUGUGAUAAUGUGGCCAUUGAGAGAAAUGAACUGCUUGUGAGGUUCCUAUGGCAGCUUGCUGCUUCCACUGCCUCAGGUCUGCCGGUUCCUUCAGGAUUGAACUAAAACUGCUGGUUCGCAUGUGGUAUAUGCUUGCCUAGAGGACCGGUUUGCAGCUGCUGAAUUGUAUUUGGUGUUUGCUGUGGGACUGAACUGCUAAGAAAGGAGAUCAAGUUCACCCCCAAAAGAACUACUGCUAAACAGAUUAAUCUACACAGGUUAAAAAAUGAAUUCCAGUAACAUCUAAGCUUACAUUGAGGAUUCACAGAUGCAAACUGACCUGUUGCCUUCGGCACCUUCUCCAUGCCUUUCCCAUUGGGAUGGAAUUUCUCUCCUGUAACUACCUCAAGAGUGGCAGAUCACCAAGCAAUAAGCACACUUAUUUGGAGUCAUUGCCUCCUCACCAAAUAUGUAAGGUGUAUUGAUCAAAAAUAGACAGAAUAAACCGAUAAGUGAGGAGCUCACAGGAUUUCCUAGUGUAUGUGCUAGAUCAUCUAUUUCCUCUUGCAUGUUACUGAAUAAAAGGCUAUUUUCAGUCAGGAGAAACAAUGACACAAAAUACCACUGCCUCCAUUUGCAAGAGACUUUGUAAGUGCCUUACAGGAAGUUAGUCAUGGCCCUUGAAUGGUGUGUAAGAGCACUUGCACUGUUAAAUCGCAUGCUUACUUCAGGAUUCUGGAAUCUUCCCAAACUGUUUGCUUACCUUUGGCUGAAUUUUCUGACUAGAUGGAAGGGGCUUUCCAAUGAUUUGCCACACAGGGCUUAUCUUGAAUUGUGUAACAGGCAGUACAGGGACUAGGCAACUGUUUGAGAUCGAGAAAUGACUAUGUACAUUAUCAACAAUUGUUUGUAGAGAUAGAGGGAAGGGUUGUUAACUUCCUUUGGAAAACAAAUCUUUUGCUAAUUACUAUGCUAUCUGGCUUGUAGACAGAUGAAUAGAGAAAAAAGUCACAAAA